RNAcentral lists this ribosomal RNA (2773 nucleotides) under Enterobacter cancerogenus YZ1. RNAcentral describes it as "bacterial LSU rRNA". It matches the Rfam family "Bacterial large subunit ribosomal RNA". The record is from RNAcentral. Lineage: Bacteria; Pseudomonadati; Pseudomonadota; Gammaproteobacteria; Enterobacterales; Enterobacteriaceae.
AGCGUACACGGUGGAUGCCCUGGCAGUCAGAGGCGAUGAAGGACGUGCUAAUCUGCGAAAAGCGCCGGCGAGGUGAUAUGAACCCUUGACCCGGCGAUGUCCGAAUGGGGAAACCCAGUGCAAUUCGUUGCACUAUCGUUAACUGAAUACAUAGGUUAACGAGGCGAACCGGGGGAACUGAAACAUCUAAGUACCCCGAGGAAAAGAAAUCAACCGAGAUUCCCCCAGUAGCGGCGAGCGAACGGGGAGCAGCCCGGAGUCUGAAUCAGCUUGUGUGUUAGUGGAACGGUCUGGAAAGUCCGACGGUACAGGGUGAUAGUCCCGUACACGAAAGCACACAUGCUGUGAACUCGAAGAGUAGGGCGGGACACGUGGUAUCCUGUCUGAAUAUGGGGGGACCAUCCUCCAAGGCUAAAUACUCCUGACUGACCGAUAGUGAACCAGUACCGUGAGGGAAAGGCGAAAAGAACCCCGGCGAGGGGAGUGAAAAAGAACCUGAAACCGUGUACGUACAAGCAGUGGGAGCCUCUUUAUGGGGUGACUGCGUACCUUUUGUAUAAUGGGUCAGCGACUUAUAUUCUGUAGCAAGGUUAACCGUAUAGGGGAGCCGAAGGGAAACCGAGUCUUAACUGGGCGUUAAGUUGCAGGGUAUAGACCCGAAACCCGGUGAUCUAGCCAUGGGCAGGUUGAAGGUUGGGUAACACUAACUGGAGGACCGAACCGACUAAUGUUGAAAAAUUAGCGGAUGACCUGUGGCUGGGGGUGAAAGGCCAAUCAAACCGGGAGAUAGCUGGUUCUCCCCGAAAGCUAUUUAGGUAGCGCCUCGUGAACUCAUCUUCGGGGGUAGAGCACUGUUUCGGCUAGGGGGCCAUCCCGGCUUACCAACCCGAUGCAAACUACGAAUACCGAAGAAUGUUAUCACGGGAGACACACGGCGGGUGCUAACGUCCGUCGUGAAGAGGGAAACAACCCAGACCGCCAGCUAAGGUCCCAAAGUCAUGGUUAAGUGGGAAACGAUGUGGGAAGGCACAGACAGCCAGGAUGUUGGCUUAGAAGCAGCCAUCAUUUAAAGAAAGCGUAAUAGCUCACUGGUCGAGUCGGCCUGCGCGGAAGAUGUAACGGGGCUAAACCAUGCACCGAAGCUGCGGCAGCGACACUAUGUGUUGUUGGGUAGGGGAGCGUUCUGUAAGCCGUUGAAGGUGUGCUGUGAGGCAUGCUGGAGGUAUCAGAAGUGCGAAUGCUGACAUAAGUAACGAUAAAGCGGGUGAAAAGCCCGCUCGCCGGAAGACCAAGGGUUCCUGUCCAACGUUAAUCGGGGCAGGGUGAGUCGACCCCUAAGGCGAGGCCGAAAGGCGUAGUCGAUGGGAAACAGGUUAAUAUUCCUGUACUUGGUGUUACUGCGAAGGGGGGACGGAGAAGGCUAUGUCAGCCGGGCGACGGUUGUCCCGGUUUAAGCAUGUAGGCGGAGGUUCCAGGUAAAUCCGGUACCUUUUAACGCUGAGGUGUGAUGACGAGGCACUACGGUGCUGAAGUGAUAAAUGCCCUGCUUCCAGGAAAAGCCUCUAAGCAUCAGGUAACACGAAAUCGUACCCCAAACCGACACAGGUGGUCAGGUAGAGAAUACCAAGGCGCUUGAGAGAACUCGGGUGAAGGAACUAGGCAAAAUGGUGCCGUAACUUCGGGAGAAGGCACGCUGAUGUGUAGGUGAAGCCCCUGCGGGCGGAGCUGAAAUCAGUCGAAGAUACCAGCUGGCUGCAACUGUUUAUUAAAAACACAGCACUGUGCAAACACGAAAGUGGACGUAUACGGUGUGACGCCUGCCCGGUGCCGGAAGGUUAAUUGAUGGGGUUAGCGGCAACGCGAAGCUCUUGAUCGAAGCCCCGGUAAACGGCGGCCGUAACUAUAACGGUCCUAAGGUAGCGAAAUUCCUUGUCGGGUAAGUUCCGACCUGCACGAAUGGCGUAAUGAUGGCCAGGCUGUCUCCACCCGAGACUCAGUGAAAUUGAACUCGCUGUGAAGAUGCAGUGUACCCGCGGCAAGACGGAAAGACCCCGUGAACCUUUACUAUAGCUUGACACUGAACACUGGUCCUUGAUGUGUAGGAUAGGUGGGAGGCUUUGAAGCGUGGACGCCAGUCUGCGUGGAGCCGACCUUGAAAUACCACCCUUUAAUGGCUGGUGUUCUAACGUAGACCCGUAAUCCGGGUUGCGGACAGUGUCUGGUGGGUAGUUUGACUGGGGCGGUCUCCUCCCAAAGAGUAACGGAGGAGCACGAAGGUUGGCUAAUCCUGGUCGGACAUCAGGAGGUUAGUGCAAUGGCAUAAGCCAGCUUGACUGCGAGCGUGACGGCGCGAGCAGGUGCGAAAGCAGGUCAUAGUGAUCCGGUGGUUCUGAAUGGAAGGGCCAUCGCUCAACGGAUAAAAGGUACUCCGGGGAUAACAGGCUGAUACCGCCCAAGAGUUCAUAUCGACGGCGGUGUUUGGCACCUCGAUGUCGGCUCAUCACAUCCUGGGGCUGAAGUAGGUCCCAAGGGUAUGGCUGUUCGCCAUUUAAAGUGGUACGCGAGCUGGGUUUAGAACGUCGUGAGACAGUUCGGUCCCUAUCUGCCGUGGGCGCUGGAGAAUUGAGGGGGGCUGCUCCUAGUACGAGAGGACCGGAGUGGACGCAUCACUGGUGUUCGGGUUGUCAUGCCAAUGGCACUGCCCGGUAGCUAAAUGCGGAAGAGAUAAGUGCUGAAAGCAUCUAAGCACGAAACUUGCCCCGAGAUGAGUUCU